This 494-nucleotide ribosomal RNA is filed under the name uncultured bacterium. RNAcentral describes it as "partial 16S ribosomal RNA". It matches the Rfam family "Bacterial small subunit ribosomal RNA", at positions 29 to 507 of the family's 1533-position model. The record is from RNAcentral.
ACGAACGCUGGCGGCGUGCCUAAUACAUGCAAGUAGAACGCUGAAGGAGGAGCUUGCUUCUCUGGAUGAGUUGCGAACGGGUGAGUAACGCGUAGGUAACCUGCCUGGUAGCGGGGGAUAACUAUUGGAAACGAUAGCUAAUACCGCAUAAGAGUAGAUGUCGCAUGACAUUUGCUUAAAAGGUGCAAUUGCAUCACUACCAGAUGGACCUGCGUUGUAUUAGCUAGUUGGUGAGGUAACGGCUCACCAAGGCAACGAUACAUAGCCGACCUGAGAGGGUGAUCGGCCACACUGGGACUGAGACACGGCCCAGACUCCUACGGGAGGCAGCAGUAGGGAAUCUUCGGCAAUGGACGGAAGUCUGACCGAGCAACGCCGCGUGAGGGAAGAAGGUUUUCGGAUCGUAAAGCUCUGUUGUAAGAGAAGAACGAGUGUGAGAGUGGAAAGUUCACACUGUGACGGUAUCUUACCAGAAAGGGACGGCUAACUACGUG